CCUACGGGAGGCAGCAGUGAGGAAUAUUGGUCAAUGGCCGGAAGGCUGAACCAGCCAAGCCGCGUGAAGGACGAAGGUGCCAAGCAUUGUAAACUUCUUUUGUCAAGGGACAAAAUCAGGCUCGAGAGCCUGACCGAGGGUACUUGAAGAACAAGCAUCGGCUAACUCCGUGCCAGCAGCCGCGGUAAUACGGAGGAUGCGAGCGUUAUCCGGAUUUAGUGGGUUUAAAGGGUGGGUAGGCGGGCUGUUAAGUCAGCGGUAAAAGCCCGGGGCUCAACCCCGGCGAGCCGUUGAAACUGGCUGUCUUGAGAUGUCGAGAGGUAUGCGGAAUGCGCAGUGUAGCGGUGAAAUGCUUAGAUAUUGCGCAGAACUCCGAUUGCGAAGGCAGCAUACCGGCGGCGAUCUGACGCUGAGGCACGAAAGCGUGGGUAUCGAACAGGAUUAGAUACCCGUGUAGUC
Molecule: ribosomal RNA, 459 nt
Filed under: uncultured bacterium
Lineage: Bacteria
Description: partial 16S ribosomal RNA
Rfam family: Bacterial small subunit ribosomal RNA
Source: RNAcentral